Fukomys damarensis (Damara mole-rat) is the source of this 594-nucleotide long non-coding RNA. RefSeq lists it as uncharacterized. The record is from RefSeq and is a predicted model, not a curated record. Lineage: Eukaryota; Metazoa; Chordata; Mammalia; Rodentia; Bathyergidae. The transcript is spliced from 5 exons.
UUGUGCGCACAACACUUGCCCAUCAAGAUCAUUUUCAAAAGAUGAUUACUUCAGUGUGCCCAGGCCUGCAGGACAUAAGUAUGUGGGCAGUGGUGGAUGACGAGUCCUACCACACAGGCAGGAUUUUUUGAAAGAUUCAGAGUAUGGCAAAGUGUUUAACAUGAGACAGCUGUGGAGUGUGUACCAAAUGUGGACAGAAACUGUGAGGACCAGAUGGAAACACAUGACAGAGUUAUUAAUGAUGUGGAUAAAGGAACAAACAGUGCCUUCAUAAAUUAGCUAAUGAAACUAGAAGGAGAGGUGUCAUGACAUCCUUGGGAACAGAGGAAAGAGCUAAGAGGCAUAUUUUGUGCCAGAUCCACAUGAGGAAUUUACAACACAGAAGGGAUGUAUCAUAUCUACCACGUGGGCCAAGAAAUAGUAUAUGGAACCUGAUCUGUGCACAACAGAGGGUGUCUCUGUGGGGCCCAGAGACUCCCUGUAGGGGGUAUGGGAAAGGCAGGAGUCAGCCCCGCUCAGCCUUCCCUCCAGUAAAUAAUCUCUGACAGCAUCUAAAAGACAACAAGACUGGGAAGCAUUCAGGGCACUAAUGUA